AUGGACCGUGUAAUGAAGCUAGCAUCUGAGCGUGCCGUGGUGGUGUUCACCCUGAGUCCCUGUUGCAUGUGCCACACAGUGGAGCGUCUGUUUCGUGACCAGCUUGGGGUGAAUGCGCUGGUGCACGAGCUCGACCAGGACCCUAGGGGCAAGGAGAUGGAGAGAGCUCUCCUCAAGAUGCUCGGCAGGGGGCCGUCGGUGCCGGUCGUCUUCAUCGGCGGGAAGCUUGUUGGUGGCACCAACAGGAUCAUGUCUCUACACCUCGGUGGCGAGCUAGUCCCCAUGCUCAAGAAUGCCGGUGCUCUCUGGCUAUAG
Molecule: ribosomal RNA, 315 nt
Filed under: Triticum aestivum (bread wheat)
Lineage: Eukaryota; Viridiplantae; Streptophyta; Magnoliopsida; Poales; Poaceae
Description: partial small subunit ribosomal RNA
Source: RNAcentral